GUUAAGCCCAAUGAGUCACACAACCAAGCAAAAGGUAUGAGUAGGAGGAGUUGGCAAUUAGGGGAUGAAUUUGACAGACCUAGAAGGAGGAAAAGAGAAGCAGUUCAGCACAAAGGAAAUAAAAGAUCUGAGGCUGGAGAUGUAUUUCAUCUGAUCUCUACACUCAUGGAAGGACAACGUGCUGAUGAGUUGCAUAAACACUGAGGUUAUCAUCUCAGCGACAAGAGAAGCCCUUGCCUGAGGACUGGCAAGCAAAUGAGGAAGACAUACGAACAGUGAAAAUAAAAACCGACCAAGGACCUGCCUCAGCUUAGGAGUGAACAUAUCCAUUUUACUCAAAGGCUUCCAAAUAAAACUUCAUCUUGAACACA
This is a long non-coding RNA of Mastomys coucha (southern multimammate mouse), 371 nucleotides long. RefSeq lists it as uncharacterized. The transcript has 2 exons. The record is from RefSeq and is a predicted model, not a curated record. Lineage: Eukaryota; Metazoa; Chordata; Mammalia; Rodentia; Muridae.